Molecule: transfer RNA, 71 nt
Filed under: Ictidomys tridecemlineatus (thirteen-lined ground squirrel)
Lineage: Eukaryota; Metazoa; Chordata; Mammalia; Rodentia; Sciuridae
Description: Spermophilus tridecemlineatus (thirteen-lined ground squirrel) tRNA
Rfam family: tRNA
About the family: Transfer RNA (tRNA) molecules are approximately 80 nucleotides in length. Their secondary structure includes four short double-helical elements and three loops (D, anti-codon, and T loops).
Source: Rfam by way of RNAcentral
GGAGUCAUAGCUCAGUGGUAGAGUGCUCACCUAGCAUGUGUGAGGUACUGGGUUCAAUCCUUAUCACUACA